GGGAGUGGUUGGGACUGAUCCACCUGUCUGUAUCUACUUUCUUACACGUGCAACCAACGUACUACCACUGACCAGUUCUACCGUCUCAACCCAACCUGCACUACCAUCUCAACCCUACAAUGGCCAACGUAACUCCCCCAAAGAAGAUGAAGAAACGUUCUUCUUUGAAGUUAGCAAAGAGGGCCAUGGAGUGGGAGAGAAUACUUUUCAUUCGGAAAUGGAAAAAUAUUAUCUGCCAUAUGCUGCCCCAGAUGCUGCCUCAGGGUGAACAGUCUCACGAUCCAUCAUCAUCGCCUUACUGGCUGGCAAUCCCACAGGAGCAGUGGGCACCCCCUCCUCCUGCUAGCAGUCUCGUUGCUAUAGACUGCAAAUUCCAGCAAGUCUGGCAGGAGGGGAGGUGUAAAACUGUCCUUGCGUCUGUGUGUGUGUGUCCCGUGGUGAUGUGAGCGGGGUUAUAUGGCUACUGGCGAUACCUCGAGAAAAAAAAAAGCGAGAUGAA
This is a long non-coding RNA of Halichondria panicea, 499 nucleotides long. RefSeq lists it as uncharacterized. The transcript is spliced from 4 exons. NCBI's taxonomy places the organism in Eukaryota, Metazoa, Porifera, Demospongiae, Suberitida, Halichondriidae. The record is from RefSeq and is a predicted model, not a curated record.